UACGUAGGGUGCGAGCGUUAAUCGGAAUUACUGGGCGUAAAGCGUGCACAGGCGGUUCGGUGUGUCUGAUGUGAAAGCCCCGGGCUUAACCUGGGAAUGGCAUUGGAAACUGGCGACCUAGAGUGCGGUAGAGGGUAGUGGAAUUCCCGGUGUAGCAGUGAAAUGCGUAGAGAUCGGGAGGAACAUCCGUGGCGAAGGCGGGUCUCUGGACAGUUCCUGACACUGAGGCACGAAGGCCAGGGGAGCAAACGGG
Molecule: ribosomal RNA, 253 nt
Filed under: uncultured bacterium
Lineage: Bacteria
Description: partial 16S ribosomal RNA
Rfam family: Bacterial small subunit ribosomal RNA
Source: RNAcentral